GAUGAACGCUGACAGAAUGCUUAACACAUGCAAGUCUACUUGAAUUUGGGUUUUUUAACUUAGAUUUGGGUGGCGGACGGGUGAGUAACGCGUAAAGAACUUGCCUCACAGCUAGGGACAACAUUUGGAAACGAAUGCUAAUACCUGAUAUUAUGAUUAUAAGGCAUCUUAGAAUUAUGAAAGCUAUAUGCGCUGUGAGAGAGCUUUGCGUCCCAUUAGCUAGUUGGAGAGGUAACGGCUCACCAAGGCGAUGAUGGGUAGCCGGCCUGAGAGGGUGAACGGCCACAAGGGGACUGAGACACGGCCCUUACUCCUACGGGAGGCAGCAGUGGGGAAUAUUGGACAAUGGACCAAGAGUCUGAUCCAGCAAUUCUGUGUGCACGAUGACGUUUUUCGGAAUGUAAAGUGCUUUCAGUUGGGAAGAAAAAAAUGGCGGUACCAACAGAAGAAGUGACGGCUAAAUACGUG
RNAcentral lists this ribosomal RNA (468 nucleotides) under uncultured bacterium. Its description in RNAcentral is "partial 16S ribosomal RNA". It matches the Rfam family "Bacterial small subunit ribosomal RNA", at positions 28 to 507 of the family's 1533-position model. The record is from RNAcentral.